UUGGCUUUGUGAGAAGGGUUGAGGUCAGCUCCCUCGCAAAUAAAAUGAGAUGUUACGAUAGAAACGUUCCAUCAAAUCAGUAAUGGCACAUACCAAUCACUGAAACCAGAGAAAUCCAACCACCACUGAAACAUCAGAGAUGUACUACACAAUAGUCACAUAUGUUCCCACCAGCAUAUUGCAUCUUGCCAGAAAAGGUAUCAAUUCCAUUUCAGAAAAGAUAUUGAUAUACAGUUAUAAAAAUCUGGUUGUCCCAAAGGUUCUAGACAGGCACGAAAGAGAAUAGAAUACGCACUGAGACACAAAUGAUACUGCACCAUGGAUAGCACAAGCUUUGAUCUGACAUCCAUCGUCUCUCAAACCCACCACCACCGGCAGCGGCAACAAGUAUGCAAGUAGAAGACUUGUUGCACCAGCAGCAGCAGCAGCAACAGCAAUGAGGGGCUACACGUACAAGGAGCAUCUAACAUCACCGUUCGAGAGCAGCGACGGCAAACAUUAUGAUUCCCCAAAUAUAUUGCACAACCUGCGGAAAGAGGAAAUGAAAUGAAGUGUAUAAAUAUAUCGAAAAAUGAACCACACAGGGGCUGUUAUGCCUGUCAGGGGUUGAUCUUAUGCCUUCAGAUCUAAUACAUUUUGGCCUUCCUAAAUGGUUCAAGAGAUGAUCAUCAUGGGUUAUGAAAAAUCAACACAAAAAAGCAGUCAUGAAAUCUGCUAGCACAUAAAAUGGAGUCAAAGGGACGUAUCAGGUAGGGCAGAGGCAGCGAUAACAGUACACGUGAGCAAGGCAAAUGGGAGCAGAGAAGCAGGGCCAUGCAGCAUAUCCUCCCGUAGGGAGGUUCCAGUCCGAUAAUAUAACAUAAUAAAAGACAAUGUGCAGAAAAGCUGUCUGUUUUAAAGUAUGACCAUGCAAGAGAGUUCGAAUAAUUCCGAGAAUUCUGAAUCACAACAUGGCCCUCAGAUUUCAGUUUCAUCAUAGGCUAAUGCAAUGGGCUUCAAAGCUGGCACUGGGGCAUGUCUGGGUGAAAUGAAGAGGAGGCAAGGCGAUGGCGGCGACGAGGAGGAGAGGUAGACCUGCAGCAAGAGCCGGCCCAUCACUCAGUGGUAGGGCUUCCGCAGAAGCAACGGCUGAUCCAGACACAUGCCCCAGCGCCCAGAACAGAGAAGCAAGCGCUGCAUUAGCCAUUUCGGGGGCUUCAACCUUACGAAUGCAAUGGCUGACCCCGUUUCGAGCUCAAAUCUGAGCCAAUCUAUCUAUCCAUCCCCACAUGGGGCUUUAACCAUCAUCAUUGGGCCAAGGGAAAAUCCAUGCAGCAAGCAAAAAUAUAGUUAUGGACCAAACAAACAACGAAAUUAAAUCCGAACCGAGCUUGAUCAAAACAAAUAAUCAAACCACCAGAAAACCGAAUAAUUGAGAAGGAAAAUAGCCGUAGGAGACUUGUUGUGCCACCAGCAGCAGCAGGGGGAAUGAAGGGGCCACAGGAGGACCAUCACAUUAACACUCAUUCAAGAGCAGCAAACAGAAAGAUUAUGAUCCCAUACUGUACAGCCUGAGGAAAGAGGAAAUGAAAUAAAAAGUACAAAAUGGAUCAACAACAGUUGUCAAGAAAUCUGCUAGCUCACAAAAGAGAGUCAAAGGGAUGUAUCAGGUAGGGCAGAGGCAGCGAUAAUAACAGAGAUGGGGAAGGGAUGUUAGUGACCUCGUGCCGUCAAUCAAUCAUCAAAGCAAACAGAAAGAAAGAAAGAGUGGAAGCAGAGAGAUGACCCUUCCACAUGAACAGCAGGCCAAUCUGUCAGUUUUCACCUGAUCCCCACUUUCCAGGAGCAUGCUUCAGCGCCCAGAACAGAAGAAGCCAACGCUGCAUUAGACAUUCCAAGAGCUUAGACCUUGCAAAUGCAAAGGGCAGCCGCAUUUAAGCACAACCAAAGUCAGUCUACUUUCCAUCUAUCAAUCAUCCUGGGGCCAAUGGUAAAUCCGAGCAACAAUACAGUGCAAAAACAAACAGACCAGCAAAGCCUAUCUGUGCCUAGAUCAGAUAAAGAAAUGGAAACAACAACACCACAAUAUUGGUGUGUGGGUUGGCGGUACGACAGGAAGGAGAAAUUUGAAGCACAAAUCAUAAACAUACCAAUUUGAACCACUAAUAAACAUUGCAGAGAGAAACCAGCAACACUUAAGCCACUUCAAAAUCUUCACCCUAUAAAGGGCUACCACUUGGAGAUCGGAACUCAAUUCCAGUGAUCUCUCCUGAUAAAUCAUCAAACUAAGAAGAUUUUCCUCUGCUGAGAGUAAAACCAUAAACUAAAAGGGUACUAGAAAUGUAUGAAGAAAUCAACCACACUUGAUCAUAAUCAGAUGAAACCAUAGCAAAUGCAGAAAAUGAUGUAAAAUCUAAACAUAGGAGGCAACAAUGCCAAUUACGGGUCCCCAUCAAGCCAACGGAGACGGAUCUGGAAGAUGGAACUGAAAAUAAAUAAAACAACCAAAACUUAGCUGGCAAUUUGUACAAGGUAUGAGAAAGAAACAUCAUGCCCUCAGGUGCCAUAGAUGUAGGUAGAUGUAGGAUGUAAUGUUCACUGAUGGCACAAGAAAUGAUCUUCCUUUUGUCCACAAGGUCAUGUGAAAGGUUGAUCUGCUGUUGCUGCUGCUGUUGUUGCUGCUGCUGCUGCUGCAUGCGUGAUUACGCAUCCAGAGAGAGAGAGAGAGAGAGAGGUGCGGGGGAGAGGAUCAUGUAAGUGACAUCUCUACAUUUUCAGUUUUCAUCAUUGGGCAAUGCAUUAUAGAAGCCAACAUUUCAAUGAUUCUAUCCCCCACCCAAAACGAAUGAAUCAAGAUUCUGUCAAAAUAGAAAUUUAGUGCAAGCCACAGGUUCACAAUUGGGAUAUUAAUUGGGUCAAGGUGUAAUAUGAUGUUUCAUAAAGAGGCAUCGGAAAACUGAUAAAGAAGCAGAAAGAAAAUCAACAAGCAUUGACAAGACAUUUGAUCACUGAAUACGUAGCAUGUCACAUUUACUACAGAAGAACUAACCUACAUCUGAGAAUGGCAAAUGGAAAAUUUAUGAUUCAAAUGACACGGGACACGACAACAAUGAUAACGCAAAGAAGCAAAGAAACAAUGUAUGAAAAAUUAUCCUCAGAUGGACUCGUACAUCUGUCAGAACAUGAUCCUAUGACGUCAGUGAGUUUGUGUCAUCCAUUAAUUAUUCUCUGGAUCAAUGAUCCAUGAAGCACAUACCUUUAUUCAGAGCACUAGCCUAAAGCUUUGCCAAGACACCAAGAUAGUAAAACAAGAGAAGCAAAGCAUGCAUGCCCCAUACCUCAUGCUGUGUCUGACUUAUUGUGAGGUUCCACCAUUGAGCACCUAAAUGACAGUGCACCAUAACAACACAUGUGCACACUGCUGGCAGUGAGCAGGCGCAAAACAGUCCGAUUCCAAUGAAAAC
This 3443-nucleotide long non-coding RNA is filed under the name Triticum aestivum (bread wheat). RNAcentral's name for it is "long non-coding RNA (TAES_LNC019522)". The record is from RNAcentral. Lineage: Eukaryota; Viridiplantae; Streptophyta; Magnoliopsida; Poales; Poaceae.